RNAcentral lists this ribosomal RNA (253 nucleotides) under uncultured bacterium. RNAcentral describes it as "partial 16S ribosomal RNA". It matches the Rfam family "Bacterial small subunit ribosomal RNA", at positions 524 to 776 of the family's 1533-position model. The record is from RNAcentral.
UACGUAGGUGGCGAGCGUUGUCCGGAUUUACUGGGCGUAAAGGGAGCGUAGGCGGACUUUUAAGUGAGAUGUGAAAUACUCGGGCUCAACUUGAGUGCUGCAUUUCAAACUGGAAGUCUAGAGUGCAGGAGAGGAGAAUGGAAUUCCUAGUGUAGCGGUGAAAUGCGUAGAGAUUAGGAAGAACACCAGUGGCGAAGGCGAUUCUCUGAACCGUAACUGACGCUGAGGCUCGAAAGCGUGGGGAGCAAACAGG